GAUGAACGCUGGCGGCGUGCCUAAUACAUGCAAGUCGAGCGAACGGACGAGAAGCUUGCUUUUCUGAUGUUAGCGGCGGACGGGUGAGUAACACGUGGAUAACCUACCUAUAAGACUGGGAUAACUUCGGGAAACCGGAGCUAAUACCGGAUAAUAUUUUGAACCGCAUGGUUCAAAAGUGAAAGACGGUCUUGCUGUCACUUAUAGAUGGAUCCGCGCUGCAUUAGCUAGUUGGUAAGGUAACGGCUUACCAAGGCAACGAUGCAUAGCCGACCUGAGAGGGUGAUCGGCCACACUGGAACUGAGACACGGUCCAGACUCCUACGGGAGGCAGCAGUAGGGAAUCUUCCGCAAUGGGCGAAAGCCUGACGGAGCAACGCCGCGUGAGUGAUGAAGGUCUUCGGAUCGUAAAACUCUGUUAUUAGGGAAGAACAUUUGUGUAAGUAACUGUGCACAUCUUGACGGUACCUAAUCAGAAAGCCACGGCUAACUACGUG
Molecule: ribosomal RNA, 497 nt
Filed under: uncultured bacterium
Lineage: Bacteria
Description: partial 16S ribosomal RNA
Rfam family: Bacterial small subunit ribosomal RNA
Source: RNAcentral